AAGCUUCGUGGUGAAAUUCAUAUCAAAUUGCAAAUUUGAAGAUACACUUUUAUUAGUGUCGGGGCUUUCC
RNAcentral lists this transfer RNA (70 nucleotides) under Cyclemys fusca. RNAcentral describes it as "tRNA-Cys". Lineage: Eukaryota; Metazoa; Chordata; Testudines; Geoemydidae. The record is from RNAcentral.